Molecule: transfer RNA, 85 nt
Filed under: Clostridiales bacterium
Lineage: Bacteria; Bacillati; Bacillota; Clostridia; Eubacteriales
Also listed under: 1 other name
Description: tRNA-Leu
Rfam family: tRNA
About the family: Transfer RNA (tRNA) molecules are approximately 80 nucleotides in length.
Source: RNAcentral
GCGGUCGUGGCGGAAUGGCAGACGCGCUACCUUGAGGUGGUAGUGAGGCAUCCUCGUGGGGGUUCAAGUCCCCCCGACCGCACCA